This 253-nucleotide ribosomal RNA is filed under the name uncultured bacterium. Its description in RNAcentral is "partial 16S ribosomal RNA". It matches the Rfam family "Bacterial small subunit ribosomal RNA", at positions 524 to 776 of the family's 1533-position model. The record is from RNAcentral.
UACGUAGGGACCAAGCGUUGUUCGGAUUUACUGGGCGUAAAGGGCUCGUAGGCGGCCAACUAAGUCCGACGUGAAAUCCCAAGGCUUAACCUUGGAACUGCGUCGGAUACUGGAUGGCUUGAAUUCGGGAGAGGGAUGCAGAAUUCCAGGUGUAGCGGUGAAAUGCGUAGAUAUCUGGAGGAAUACCGGUGGCGAAGGCGACUACCUGGCCUGUUCUUGACGCUGAGGCGCGAAAGCUAGGGGAGCAAACGGG